AUUCCAUGAUGGGGACAUUCUAGGAUGUAGUCUUGGAAGUGCGCCCAUGCUUCUGGAACAGAUUCAUCAUUUUGUUGCUGAAAACUUAUAAUCUUCACACGGAGAGC
Molecule: small nucleolar RNA, 107 nt
Organism: Sorghum bicolor (sorghum)
Lineage: Eukaryota; Viridiplantae; Streptophyta; Magnoliopsida; Poales; Poaceae
Rfam family: Plant small nucleolar RNA R71
About the family: R71 is a member of the C/D box family of snoRNAs containing the C (UGAUGA) and D (CUGA) box motifs. Multiple nearly identical copies of this snoRNA have been identified in Arabidopsis, and it is thought to function as a 2'-O-ribose methylation guide for 18S ribosomal RNA.
Source: Rfam